UGGACAUAAGUGAAUAUUUCUAGAUGUACCCGUUCCUUAUAGUGAUUUUUUUUUCUUCCUGAAACCAGGACAAACUGCCCAGAUUGUGAUUUGGCCCACUUAAAAGUUUAACAAGAACACAAUAAGCUUGGAAACAGUUUUCCUUUUUGCCUUCGGCCAUCCAGGUAAGGUUGUACUAGCAGAAAAAAAGUAAGGACCAGAUUUUGCCCUCAGAUUUGCUUGCGCAGGUUUUCAAAAGGUAAAGAGACUAGAUUCUGCCAUUAGCUACAGUGACUUCUGAACUGCAGUCCUCUGACCCCAUGGAACUUUCAUUCUCUGAGCAAAAAGCCAAGAUAUAACUAAGCCAAGCCUUAAGUUAAAGCACAGUGGUAAAUUCAUCUCUGUCCAAAAAGAAUUUGAGGUUCAAAGUCACUUAAGACAAGGCCUGCGCUGGAUAGACUGCUGGCCUCAGAAACCUCAGUGGCUACUAGUUCAGCUGGCAAAGAUUAGCAAUGAUUUCCUCUAUUCAAGCAUCUAAGCCAAAGACCAACCAACAUAAAACAAAAAGCUGAUUCUCAGCUGGUGUUAACUGGAGUGUCUUUGCUGGCACUGUGUGUGUUAACACAUCUGUGGGCCCCAUGUUCUUAAGCUAUCUGAGCAUUUCUUUGUGACGUAACUGAAGAAUGCAUCUUAAAAUUUAGGUUUUGGAAGACAUCUGGAAAAUGAACCAGAUAACCAUAAGCUUAGAAGUUUGCCAUUUUUCCACAUUUAGUGUAUCUGAGACUUUUAGUAGGUUAGCUUAUUUGUAUACAUUAAAGAGAGGCAGGCAUUUUUCAGUUUGAUUACACCACAACAGUGUGCAAAUCCUUUUGUUUAAUUACCUUUGUGGUUAAAGGCCAUUUCAUCUCUUUUUCAGUCUUUCGUCUGCUUUUCCUAUGUCUGCUUUCAACAUAAUUCAACUGGGUGGCUCUCCUGUCUCUUAACUUUGAAUGAAAGAAAUACUGCCAGAAAUUCUUCAGGGCUUCUCAAAAGUUUGGCUUCCUUGGGCACAUCUGUGUGAUAUUACCUAAAUGACAGUAAUUGCAACAAAAACAAGAUCUAUUAAAACAGGGAAAACAUCUUAUAGUACGUUAAAUUAGUUUAAAUUAAAAGGAAAGGUGAACGGUGUAUAUAUCCCUUGAAACCAACAUGCACUGCUUGAUUCCUUUGUAGCACCUGCAUAGAAAUAUCUCUCAGCUCUCUCCACUAGGCCCCUCCAGCAGGGGCUGCAGUCCUAGACACAAACUAUCCAUCUGUACAUAAAGCAAUAAAACAGAAGUUUCUUCCUUACUCCUCUUCAUGUAUCUCAACAAAAAGAAGCUGACUCAUCAACGUUGUAAUGCUAUAGACAGAUUUUAUCUUUUAUGGAAUAUAAUCCCCAAUGGUAUCUGCUUUGGCAUCAGCUAUCUUGUUUAAAUACAUAGGUGUAUCAUGCAUGGUUUAGGCAAACACAACAGGCAGAUUAAAUGGUUCACUGAAAAAAAAACACAACGCUUUUUUUCUUUUUCUAUUAGUGUAACAAAAUGGAUAUAAGUAAAAGCCCCAGCUGAGCAAUCACCACAGCGCUCAAGGGUGGCCAUUUCCGUGUGCCCCACACACCCGCUCUCUAGGACAUGGCCGCCCUGGCAGCUGCCCUUUCGCCGCCAUGUUGUGGUCAGUCAGCGCCCAGGCCGGGACCUAAAAUGGCGGCCAGUUGUUAACUCACGCCAGCGCGGCUGGGAGGCGCUGUUUGCUUUCCGGUGCGUGUCGCCCUAUCCUUCGGUCCCUCUACAGGAGAAAAGGAGAAUUUGCUCCCCCUUACGCCUUUUAUACCCACAAAGCGUCCCCGUGUCACCCAGCGGAGGAAAGCAGUUUCUAGCAAACCUCUUCUGAAGGCCAAAGCAGCAUCCUCUGACAUGGGAGAGAAAGAUCCUGUAAGUAAGGAGAAAGUGAAGCACUGAAUGAGUGGUCAAAGUGUCUCUUAGAAAGGCUCAAUCAGCAGUGCAAACAAAGGCAAAACCACUGGGACUGGAGCAAAAGAGAGAGAGGAAGAUGCGAGUACCUCGUAACAAGCCCCCUGGUGGAAGGGGCAGCAGUGCAUUGCUCGGGAGCCAUCAGAGACGCUAGCAGCUUGCCACAACUGCUGGAAGUGUUAUGUGUGGUCCAACUGGCAGCCUGCAGGCCAGCUCCAGGCUGCUGCACUGAUCCAUCCGGCCCACCAGCUUCUUCCCUGGAAGAGAUGGAGAACAGCUGUUCGGAGCAACGACUGCACCCUCCAGCCGCUGAGCUUGUCCUCCGACACAAAGGCAAAACACUGCUGCUGUUGACAGGAGCUUUUUUCAUGCGCUGUGGAAGGUUGUCAGAUGCUUCUUUGAAGUUAACUAAUGAUCAUGCGAGCAAAGAAUCUAGCAGUGGGAGCCAGGUCUCUCUGGUGUUGUAGCAGCACAGCUUCCACAUGCUGGCGCUCUUCCGUUACCUUGUGUGAUGUUUUUCAGAUGGAGGAGAAGUGGGCUGAAAUCUCCCUGGGUGAAAGUGAGGCUGUGACCCCAACCUGGUGCCACCUCUCUAGUUGUCCUGGGCUGCAAAAGAAGAACAGUCAUCCCUGGUGCCUUGUGAAAUUCCACAUUGCUCCAGAUUUCAGGGACAGCUGUUGCUUCAUGUACCCAGGACCUGUUUCAAAUUCAGCUAAUGGAGAUUAUAUCUGCCUCGGCCUCUUCCGCAAACACUGGAUUCACUGGAGUGUGUUACAGACAAUACGGCUCUCAAACAAUGAAGCAUUUGUGUUCAUUUUCUUCUAUUUUAUCUUUGGAAUUCUACUAUUUAGGUCACUAUCUGUUGCUUCCAGCUACUCUUCCCUGACAAAUUGUAGCUCUUUUUAGGCUUAAAAAGAUAUAAUCAAUGAAUUCAUCUAUGUUAUUCCUCUGGUUAUAAAGGUCUAGGUGUAAUAAGUGGUACACAUAUUCCAAGAUUAUGUUGCUGUUCCUGAACUGCAGCCCCAAGAUUAAUUGUGCAUUAUAGGCCAAAAUUUGAAGAGCUGCUGGAUGCUGACCUCUUCAAAAAUCUGAGAUAAAUAACACAAUAAAGAACACUGUUACCAAAUUUCUCAAAUGCUUUAAACAUGGUCCCUCACCAGUAUGAGCUGGAAGGAUGUGAAUAUGUGUAUGUAUAUUCCACAACACAUAAUUUUAUAUACAGAUAACGAUGAAUGGAUCCUUUACUUGAUUGUAUCUGUCUUUGUAAAAGAAAAAACACCACAAGUUUUAAUUUAGACAGGUAAUCCUCGGUUUUAGCGAGUAACAUCACUCAUAGUGAGAUUGCCCAUGAAAUAAAAAUGAUCCUCAGGUAUGGGGAUAUACAGGAAUUCCAUUUUCAUUUAAACUCAAGCUCACUGAUUGCUCUGCUCAUGUAAAAAAUUGCUGUGCUCUGAAUGAAACGAAGAUGAGUGCUUAAGCAAACAGUUACAAAUUAAUUUAUAAUGAAACAUGACAGUCAUAAUUUAAUUUGGAAUGUAUUUAAGAUUGUUGUUACUAUUUGUAUAGGCCUUUUUUGCCUGGAGGAAGAUGUGACUUCAUAGUGAAAUGUCAGCUAUUGAAAUACCAAACUUUUUACGCGUACAUGUGUAUUAAUUAAUUAAAAUCGUGUAGAUACUUUCCUAAUAAAGAACUGUUGUCUGCUGCAAGCAGUCAGACAAAAGCUUGCAGAUCAAGGCUGGCACGUGCAGGAUCAGCGGGGCACCAAGAAUUACCAGUGAGCACAAGGGGUGCUGAGCAUAACCUGUGGGGUCGUGUGGCUGCCACACAGCUUCUCCCUUGGCGGCGAGGAGAGGGGACCUAAGACAAGAGCAAGCAGGAGGGAUGCAGUUUUUGCACCUCUGCUCUGCUCUGCAGAGCAGCUGCCGAGGCCCAGCACCACAUACAUCCUGCAAUGUAUGUUAGGCAGAUGGCUCUUUCUGUUGAUGGGGCUACAUCACAUUUCAGGCACCGGUGUCGGAGUUGCCCUCUCUGCAUCGCUGACUGCGGUCAGAGGGCCUGAAAGGGCUGCACGCCUAACUGCUGUCCCUCGGCGCAGGAGGCACGAAGCCGCCUCUAGCUACCCCUGUGCUGUGCUGCUGGUGUUACAGCCAGAUGUUCAGGAACAGGCUGGGGCUCAGUUCAUGUCUGCACGCCCUCAACGUCAGUACACUGCCCUGCCUGCUGCCUGGGGCUGCCUCCAGCAUCCUGGAAGAGGAGGAGGGCAAAGUUGGCACUCACAAGAAACCAGCUCAGUGGUGGGUACUCUUAUUUUGCAUGCAUAGCUAAAGAGUUUAUUUUUUAUUACGUUUCCUCUUUGUUUCUUCCCAAGCAGUAUAAAUGUAUUUCUUUUUCAGAGAUAAAAAUACCUAGGCUGUGGAAUUUCACCUUUGAUGCUGUAGAGG
Cygnus olor (mute swan) is the source of this 4411-nucleotide long non-coding RNA. RefSeq lists it as uncharacterized. The transcript has 7 exons. The record is from RefSeq and is a predicted model, not a curated record. Lineage: Eukaryota; Metazoa; Chordata; Aves; Anseriformes; Anatidae.